GCAUUGGUGGUCCAGUGGUGAGAUCCUUGCCUUCCACACAGGAGCCCUGGGUUCCAUUCCCAGUCGAUGCA
Molecule: transfer RNA, 71 nt
Filed under: Loxodonta africana (African savanna elephant)
Lineage: Eukaryota; Metazoa; Chordata; Mammalia; Proboscidea; Elephantidae
Rfam family: tRNA
About the family: Transfer RNA (tRNA) molecules are approximately 80 nucleotides in length. Their secondary structure includes four short double-helical elements and three loops (D, anti-codon, and T loops).
Source: Rfam by way of RNAcentral